CCUACGGGUGACUGCAGUGGGGAAUAUUGCACAAUGGGGGGAACCCUGAUGCAGCGACGCCGCGUGAGUGAAGAAGUCAUUCGUGAUGUAAAGCUCUAUCAGCAGGGAAGAAAAUGACGGUACCUGACUAAGAAGCCCCGGCUAACUACGUGCCAGCAGCCGCGGUAAUACGUAGGGGGCAAGCGUUAUCCGGAUUCACUGGGCGUAAAGGGAGCGCAGGCGGCAUGGCAAGUCUGAUGUGAAAACCCGGGGCCCAACCCCGGGAGUGCAUUGGAAACUGCCAGGCUGGAGUGUCGGAGGGGUAAGCGGAAUUCCUAGUGUAGCGGUGAAAUGCGUAGAUAUUAGGAGGAACACCAGUGGCGAAGGCGGCUUACUGGACGACUACUGACGCUGAGGCUCGAAAGCGUGGGGAGCAAACAGGAUUAGAUACCCGGGUAGUC
RNAcentral lists this ribosomal RNA (440 nucleotides) under uncultured bacterium. RNAcentral describes it as "partial 16S ribosomal RNA". It matches the Rfam family "Bacterial small subunit ribosomal RNA", at positions 338 to 795 of the family's 1533-position model. The record is from RNAcentral.